RNAcentral lists this ribosomal RNA (253 nucleotides) under uncultured bacterium. Its description in RNAcentral is "partial 16S ribosomal RNA". It matches the Rfam family "Bacterial small subunit ribosomal RNA", at positions 524 to 776 of the family's 1533-position model. The record is from RNAcentral.
UACGAAGGGGGCUAGCGUUGCUCGGAAUCACUGGGCGUAAAGGGUGCGUAGGCGGGUCUUUAAGUCAGGGGUGAAAUCCUGGAGCUCAACUCCAGAACUGCCUUUGAUACUGAGGAUCUUGAGUUCGGGAGAGGUGAGUGGAACUGCGAGUGUAGAGGUGAAAUUCGUAGAUAUUCGCAAGAACACCAGUGGCGAAGGCGGCUCACUGGCCCGAUACUGACGCUGAGGUGCGAAAGUGUGGGGAGCGAACAGG